Molecule: microRNA precursor, 68 nt
Filed under: Astyanax mexicanus (Mexican tetra)
Lineage: Eukaryota; Metazoa; Chordata; Actinopteri; Characiformes; Acestrorhamphidae
Description: mir-8/mir-141/mir-200 microRNA precursor family
Rfam family: mir-8/mir-141/mir-200 microRNA precursor family
About the family: The bounds of the precursors are predicted based on conservation and base pairing and are not generally known.
Source: Rfam by way of RNAcentral
UUCUCCAUCUUACGAGGCAGCAUUGGAUAUCUUCUCUCUCUCUAAUACUGCCUGGUAAUGAUGAUGAU